Molecule: long non-coding RNA, 413 nt
Filed under: Marmota monax (woodchuck)
Lineage: Eukaryota; Metazoa; Chordata; Mammalia; Rodentia; Sciuridae
Source: RNAcentral
UGUACAUUAGUUCCUUAUCAGAUACAAGGUUUGUAAAUAUUUUUUCCUAUUCCAUAGGUUGCCUUUCAAUCUGUUGAUUCUUUCCUUUGCUGUGCAGUUUGUUUUGUUUUUGAAUGGGUACCAGUUUCCAACUCACGGCUUAGCUCAUGCUAGGCAAAUGCUCAUCACGGAGCUACACCCCCAGACCUUUUAAAAAAAAUUGUUUUGAGAUAAAAUCUGGCUAAAUUGCCCAGACUGGCCUCAAGCUUAUGAUCCUCCUGCCUUAGCUUCCAGAGUUGCUGGGAUUACAGGUAUGCAACACCAUGCCCAGCUCUGCUGUUCAGUUAUUAAGUCUGAUGUGGUCCUGUUUGUCCAUUCUUGCUUUUGGUACCAUAUCCAGAAAUAUUGCCACAUUUCAAUACCGUGAAACUUUC